Molecule: ribosomal RNA, 253 nt
Filed under: uncultured bacterium
Lineage: Bacteria
Description: partial 16S ribosomal RNA
Rfam family: Bacterial small subunit ribosomal RNA
Source: RNAcentral
GACAGAGGGUGCAAACGUUGUUCGGAAUUACUGGGCGUAAAGCGCGUGUAGGCGGCAAGCCAAGUCGGGUGUGAAAGCCCUGGGCUCAACCCAGGAAGUGCAUUCGAUACUGGCAAGCUAGAGUCCCGGAGAGGAUGGUGGAACUCUCGGUGUAGAGGUGAAAUUCGUAGAUAUCGAGAGGAACACCGGUGGCGAAGGCGGCCAUCUGGACGGUGACUGACGCUGAGACGCGAAGGCGUGGGGAGCAAACAGG